Long non-coding RNA from Chiroxiphia lanceolata (lance-tailed manakin), 571 nucleotides. RefSeq lists it as uncharacterized. The record is from RefSeq and is a predicted model, not a curated record. Lineage: Eukaryota; Metazoa; Chordata; Aves; Passeriformes; Pipridae. The transcript is spliced from 3 exons.
AACAGAAUGCUGGGCUACACUGACCAGGACAUUCCCAACAGAGACCAAGAAGUCACUAUCCCAGUCUGCUCAGCUCUUGCCAGGCCACGUCUGGAAUACUGUGUUCAGGUUUGGUCCCCAAUAAAGAUGUAAACUGGCUAGAGAGAGUCUAAAGAGGGGCCACAAAGAUGACCAAAGGAGGGUGAAGCCCGACAUAUGGGGAAAGGCUGAGAAAACUGGGCUUGUUCAGCAUUGAGAAAAGAAGGCUUAGGAUAGACAUUCUUACCAUGCUCCAGUGUUAAAAGGAUGGCAACAAAGAAGAUCAGAAUCUCUUUUUAGGAGUCACAUGAAAACAACAAGGGGUAAUGGGUACAAGUAAAUCCUGGGGAGGUUCUGAUUGGGCACUACACGAAAAAUUUUUGCAAUGAGAAUAAUCUCCCCAGGGAAGUGCUGGAUUCACCCAUAUUGGACACUUUUAAGAUUCAUCUGGACAAGAUGGUGGGCCAUCUUGUUUAGACUGCUUUUGUCAAGAAAGUCUGGGCCAGAUGAUGCUUGAGGUCCCUUCCAACCUGGCUACUGUUGAAAAGAGUGA